GCGAGGUGUGGCUGGAAGAAGCAGCCGGGGCCUGUGUGCUAUAUACCCCUCGCAAGCUCUCCUCACUCCUCUCCUGUGCCUGCCUCUUCCAUU
RNAcentral lists this microRNA precursor (93 nucleotides) under Zea mays. RNAcentral's name for it is "MIR528 microRNA precursor family". The record is from Rfam by way of RNAcentral. Lineage: Eukaryota; Viridiplantae; Streptophyta; Magnoliopsida; Poales; Poaceae.